RNAcentral lists this transfer RNA (82 nucleotides) under Bacteroides sp. An322. Its description in RNAcentral is "tRNA-Arg". It matches the Rfam family "tRNA". From Rfam's summary of the family: Transfer RNA (tRNA) molecules are approximately 80 nucleotides in length. Lineage: Bacteria; Pseudomonadati; Bacteroidota; Bacteroidia; Bacteroidales; Bacteroidaceae. The record is from RNAcentral.
GGCAGAAUAGGACAAUGGGUAGUCCGCUCCGCCGUGCGAAUCCGGCGGAAUUGUUAGCGGUUCGAAUCCGCUUUCUGCUCCA